Molecule: ribosomal RNA, 468 nt
Filed under: uncultured bacterium
Lineage: Bacteria
Description: partial 16S ribosomal RNA
Rfam family: Bacterial small subunit ribosomal RNA
Source: RNAcentral
GACGAACGCUGGCGGCGUGCUUAACACAUGCAAGUCGAACGGAAAGGCCCUGCUUUUGUGGGGUGCUCGAGUGGCGAACGGGUGAGUAACACGUGAGUAACCUGCCCUUGACUUUGGGAUAACUUCAGGAAACUGGGGCUAAUACCGGAUAGGAGCUCCUGCUGCAUGGUGGGGGUUGGAAAGUUUCGGCGGUUGGGGAUGGACUCGCGGCUUAUCAGCUUGUUGGUGGGGUAGUGGCUUACCAAGGCUUUGACGGGUAGCCGGCCUGAGAGGGGGACCGGCCCCACUGCGAUGGAGCUACGGCCCAGACUCGUACGGGAGGCAGCGGUGGGGAGUAGUAUAUUAGGGGCGGGAGCCUGGUGUAGCAACGCCGCGUGGGGUAUGACGGGCUUGGGGUUGUAAACCGCCGUCGCCUUUGACGAGGCGUGAGUGACGGUAAUGGGUAAAGAAGCACCGGCUAACUACGUG